UCCGAGUUGACCCCGGCAGUCUCCUAUGAGUCCCCACCAUCACGUGCUGGCAACAUAGAACGAGGGUUGCGCUCGUUGCGGGACUUAACCCAACAUCUCACGACACGAGCUGACGACAACCAUGCACCACCUGUGUUCCGGUUCCCUUUCGGGCACCCCCACCUCUCGGCAGGGUUCCGGACAUGUCAAGGGUAGGUAAGGUUGUUCGCGUUGCAUCGAAUUAAUCCACAUCAUCCACCGCUUGUGCGGGUCCCCGUCAAUUCCUUUGAGUUUUAACCUUGCGGCCGUACUCCCCAGGCGGAUCACUUCACGCGUUAGCUACGGUACCAAGGAAUCGCUUCCCCGACACCCAGUGAUCAUCGUUUAGGGCGUGGACUAC
Molecule: unclassified non-coding RNA, 379 nt
Filed under: uncultured bacterium
Lineage: Bacteria
Description: contains 16S-23S intergenic spacer region
Source: RNAcentral